Molecule: ribosomal RNA, 708 nt
Filed under: uncultured eukaryote
Lineage: Eukaryota
Description: bacterial SSU rRNA
Rfam family: Eukaryotic small subunit ribosomal RNA
Source: RNAcentral
GACAGUGUUUAGGUCUUUUCGUUCCUUUCGUUGAUGUUCUGUGAACGCUAUGGAGGGAAAUGUUACUUUAAAUAAAUUAGAGUGCUUCAAGCAUGCGUUUUGCCUUGAAUAUUUCAUUCUGGAAUAACAACCAAAAGUGAGUUUGUGUUGGUUCUGAACUACUCAAUUAAUGAUUGAAAGAAGCAGUCGGGGGCAUUCGUAUUUGGUAGCUAGAGGUGAAAUUCUUAGAUUUACCAAAGACGAACCAUUGCGAAAGCAUUUGCCAAGGAUGUUUUCAUUAAUCAAGAACGAAAGUUAGGGGAUCGAAGACGAUCAGAUACCGUCGUAGUCUUAACUGUAAACUAUGCCGACUUGAGAUUGGACGAUGCCACAAUAAGCUCCUCCAGCACCAGAAGAGAAAUCGAAGUUUUUGGGUUCUGGGGGGAGUAUGGUCGCAAGGCUGAAACUUAAAGGAAUUGACGGAAGGGCACCACCAGGAGUGGAGCCUGCGGCUUAAUUUGACUCAACACGGGGAACCUCACCAGGUCCAGACAUAAGAAGGAUUGACAGAUUGAGAGCUUUUUCUUGAUUUUAUGGGUGGUGGUGCAUGGGCCGUUCUUAGUUGGUGGAGUGAUUUGUCUGGUUAAUUCCGUUAACGAACGAGACUUUAACCUGCUAACUAGACAGCGGAAUAUCUGUUCCGACUGCGCUUCUUAGAGGGACUUUGCG